RNAcentral lists this non-coding RNA (849 nucleotides) under Liopholis whitii (White's rock-skink). RNAcentral describes it as "partial 12S ribosomal RNA". It matches the Rfam family "Bacterial small subunit ribosomal RNA". Lineage: Eukaryota; Metazoa; Chordata; Lepidosauria; Squamata; Scincidae. The record is from RNAcentral.
AUAAAGUUUUGGUCCUAAACUUGCUAUCGUUUUUAAUCAAAAUUACACAUGCAAGCCUCCACACACCAGUGAGAAUGCCCAAACAACCCUAGACAGCCAAAUGGAGCAGGUAUCAGGAUCAACAAGUAUAAAGCCCAUGACACCUUGCUAUGCCACACCCACACGGGUAAUCAGCAGUGAAUGACAUUAAAGAAUAAGCGAAAGCUUGACUUAGUUAUGAUUAAGCCCUGCCGGUAAAUUUCGUGCCAGCCACCGCGGUUAUACGAAAGGCCGAAAACAAUAGCUCACGGCGUAAAGCGUGACUAGAACCUUAUCUUAUAUUUGAAGAAAAACUCUGUCAAAGCCGUAAAACACUACUGACAUUAGGAACCCCACCAACAAUAUGUCUUCAAACAAACAGACCACUCGACCUCACGAAAGCUAAGAAACAAACUAGGAUUAGAUACCCUACUAUGCUUAGCCCUAAACACAGAUAGUUCCUCAUACAAAACUAUCCGCCAGAGAACUACAAGCGAAAAGCUUGAAACUCCAAGGACUUGGCGGUGCUCCACACCACCCUAGAGGAGCCUGUCCUAUAAUCGAUACCCCCCGCUUCACCCCACCGCCUCUUGCAAUUCAGCCUAUAUACCGCCGUCGUCAGCCUACCUUAUGAAAGAAACACAGUAAGCAAAAAAGUUAACAACUAAUACGUCAGGUCAAGGUGUAGCACAUGAGACGGAAGAGAUGGGCUACAUUUUCUAACGCAGAAAAUACGAAAGGUGUAAUGAAAUACACACCUAAAGGCGGAUUUAGUAGUAAGAUAAAUAAGAGACUUUAUCUUAAAACUGCUCUGGAGCGCGCACACACCGC